CACGGGGGGAGCAAGCGUUAUUCGGAAUCACUGGGCGUAAAGGGCGUGUAGGCGGUCAAGUAAGUGGAAUGUGAAAGCCCCCGGCUUACCCGGGGAUCUGCAUCCCAAACUGCUUGGCUUGAGUACGGGAGAGGAUAGGGGAAUUCCUGGUGUAGCGGUGAAAUGCGUAGAUAUCAGGAGGAACACCGGUGGCGAAGGCGGCAUCCUGGACCGGCAUUGACGCUGAGGAGCGAAAGCUAGGGGAGCAAACGGG
Molecule: ribosomal RNA, 253 nt
Filed under: uncultured bacterium
Lineage: Bacteria
Description: partial 16S ribosomal RNA
Rfam family: Bacterial small subunit ribosomal RNA
Source: RNAcentral